CCUACGGGUGGCAGCAGUGAGGAAUAUUGGUCAAUGGGCGCGAGCCUGAACCAGCCAAGUAGCGUGAAGGAUGACUGCCCUACGGGUUGUAAACUUCUUUUAUAAAGGAAUAAAGUGAGGCACGUGUGCCUUUUUGUAUGUACUUUAUGAAUAAGGAUCGGCUAACUCCGUGCCAGCAGCCGCGGUAAUACGGAGGAUCCGAGAGUUAUCCGGAUUUAUUGGGUUUAAAGGGAGCGUAGAUGGGUUGUUAAGUCAGUUGUGAAAGUUUGCGGCUCAACCGUAAAAUUGCAAUUGAUACUGGCAGCCUUGAGUACAGUUGAGGUAGGCGGAAUUCGUGGUGUAGCGGUGAAAUGCGUAGAUAUUAGGAGGAACACCAGUGGCGAAGGCGAUUUGCUGGGCCAUCACUGACGCUGAGGUACGAAAGCAUGGGGAGCAAAUAGGAUUAGAUACCCCGGUAGUC
RNAcentral lists this ribosomal RNA (460 nucleotides) under uncultured bacterium. RNAcentral's name for it is "partial 16S ribosomal RNA". It matches the Rfam family "Bacterial small subunit ribosomal RNA", at positions 338 to 795 of the family's 1533-position model. The record is from RNAcentral.